CUCACCCCAUCGUCCUGCAGACGUUGAUCCUGUCUAUCACGUAACGGUGCCUACGCGAAUCCGCUUCUGCAUUCUGAAACGAGAAGAGACAACGAUUAAUGAAAUCUUCCAAAAUUACAAGCCCCGUUUAACAAGAUUCUACGUGGAACUAUGGACUUCUACUUUGUAUAAAUGCUGCUAUUGAAGAGAAUCAGUAAGCAGCCCCGAUAUUCAUCCGGGACGAAUAAUGAACGAUUGAGUAUCGAGUUUACAAUGAUUUUCUGUUUCACGGGGACACUGAUGGUCUUUGUGCGCGACUGUGCGCGACCGGGCUAUCGUGACAUUAAGAUUCCAAGAGGGAGGCCUGACAGACGGCCGUGCAACGCCAUAUUCGCUUUGCUUUCGUCCACGAACUUUAGCUUCUCUGUCACGCAACUAAUUCCCCUUUGCUUUUCUUGCGGGAUUGGAAAAAAGAAAAAGAAUAUGAAAAAAUGCCGACUUCCAAGAGCACACCGGCGCAACUGAUAGCGUUUCAACGACGGUAUUGAUAUUGCUGAACGAUCUUUUGGUUUUUUCAUGGCGUCGGAAUUUUUUGCUAACCGCCACCCAUGGCCCGAGACGUUCGAGACGAUCUAACAACCGAUCCUCGUUUAUUUCUCUGUUCCACUUUGUUUCAUCCUUGCAGAAACAUCGGAUAGCGCGUGAAGAAUUCGAAGCACGGUUUAUUUUACAGGCUGCGAAGGUUUAAAACCAGUUCGAAGCUGACGAGGCGCGAGGCGCUCGAAACUGCAAGGAUUCACUGUCGCGAGGUAAUUGAACGUGUCUCGCUCGUUGCAUCUAUGGCAGCCAUAUAACGAGAAGGAGACUUAGACGAUCCGUGAGCUCGCAAUCAGCGAGUCUAUCGGGCCAGAUUAUGCCAGUUAAGUGUUACGUAACGAAAGACAUCGACCCUUAGCCUGGCGCUGUACACGCGACUCCACGACAUGGAUUUGCAAUUCGAACGUCUAUAGGCGUAAUAUGUGUAAAUCGAGAGGCUACUCGGCAUGUCCGCGCCAACGGAUAAACGUGGUUGGAAGAGGGAAAGUACGCGGAAAGGGAAACUAGACUUUUCUGCGCCAUCAGAUGAAACUGGAUGGAUUGAAAGGUGUAGAAAUAAAAGGAACAAUGCGAGUUAAGAAUAUCGCGGUAUCUUUCUUUUUUUUUUUUUUUUUCUUCUUCUCAAGAUCGAGCGGAUAACAGCAUCGUUAUACCGCAACAUGGAUGCAACAGCUGCAACACAAGUCACGUUUGUUUGGCUUAAGGCAAUUCCCGUCAUUUCGUAUGUGAGCUCUUUCAAGAAAUUUUUUCUGUAAACGUUCGUCGAAGAAUAAAGAAUCCAUUAUGUGGUGUUAA
Molecule: long non-coding RNA, 1371 nt
Organism: Bombus terrestris (buff-tailed bumblebee)
Lineage: Eukaryota; Metazoa; Arthropoda; Insecta; Hymenoptera; Apidae
Exons: 2
Source: RefSeq, a predicted model, not a curated record